CCCUUAGAUGUCCUGGGCCGCACGCGCGCUACACUGAGUGUCUGAGAUACGAGUCUGCCUGGUCCGGCAAGGUCUAGGUAAUCGCUAAAAGACACAUCAUGCUUGGGAUAGAUUAUUGCAAAUAUUAAUCUUGAACGAGGAAUUCCUAGUAAGCGCAAGUCAACAGCUUGCGUUGAUUACGUCCCUGCCCUUUGUACACACCGCCCGUCGCUACUACUGAUUGGAUGUUUAAGCGAGGUUCGCGAACUGCUAGCGACUUAGCUUCGGUGAGGUCGCAGUGUGGGAAGUGAACCUAGCUUUGGUGUCUAGAGGAAGUAAAAGUCGUAACA
Molecule: ribosomal RNA, 329 nt
Filed under: uncultured eukaryote
Lineage: Eukaryota
Description: partial 18S ribosomal RNA
Rfam family: Eukaryotic small subunit ribosomal RNA
Source: RNAcentral